Molecule: small nuclear RNA, 99 nt
Organism: Phascolarctos cinereus (koala)
Lineage: Eukaryota; Metazoa; Chordata; Mammalia; Diprotodontia; Phascolarctidae
Source: Ensembl
GUGCUAGCUUUGCCAGCACACAUAAGAAUGAUACAGAGAAAACUAGCAUGAUCUCUACACAAGGAUGAUAUGUAAAUUCAUGAAGUAUGCCAUAUUUAA